Molecule: long non-coding RNA, 1459 nt
Organism: Carcharodon carcharias (great white shark)
Lineage: Eukaryota; Metazoa; Chordata; Chondrichthyes; Lamniformes; Lamnidae
Exons: 3
Source: RefSeq, a predicted model, not a curated record
CUCAGACUUCGACUGAGAAUAACACAAAACGCAAUUUCAUGUCAAAGUAUCUUGUUUCCCAACUCGCGCACCAGUAAACAGACAUGCAACCACAUUGGCUGAGCAAAGCGACUCGGAAGAUGGCACAUAACAACUGGUGACGAGGCCAAACACGACCAGUCGAGGACACCAAAGAAACCCGCAAAAAUUAAACAGAGGUAAAUCAGCCGUACUUUGCAAGGUGAUUCCUCUCCUGCUGCAGUACGCUCUGAAGAUUUAAGAAGUUGGAUCGCAAGGAAAAAAUGCAAAGAGCACCUCGUCCCCUAUGGACCGAAUUCCCACUUUGCACUGAAUUCCGAAUACCAAUCUGGCUGUGCCCCACUCAGGACGUGCUCUCUCCCCUGUUUGUGUGCAAGCUCACUUGAAGUGGAUGGAUGUAUACGAGAUGAGAUCACCCACAUCUGCCACCACCACAGACAGAUUGCAUCAGAUUUCUGUGAUACAUGGGUCACCAGAGGCAAUUGUAUCUGAUAAUGGAACGUCAUUCACCCGCAGAGAAUUCCAAAGAUUUACAAUUUGCAAUGGCAUAACACAGGCUAAGACCUCACCAUACCACCCUGCAUCCAAUGGUUUGGCCGAGGGGGCAGUCCUGACCUUCAAGUCCAGGAUGAAAAAAACUAUUGUAACUAGAUUAUCACAUUUCCCACUCAGCUGUAGGACUACGCCACACACUACCACCGGUAUUGGCCCCACCGAGUUAUUGAUGAAGAGACACCUCAGGGCACUUUUGAGUCUCAUAAGGCCAGGUGGUUGGGGGGGGAUGGUAGAGAGAAGUCAGGAGGCCCAGAACAAUGGACACGAUUACCAUAGUCAUGAAAGAAACUUCACUGUUGGAGACACUGUUUUUGCAAAGAACUUUGGAGAUGGGCCCAAAUGUCUCUCAAGUGAAGUUAGUGCUUGACAGGACCCCUUUCCUAUCACAUAUCGGUCGAAGGCUGGAUAAUGAGGAGACUCAUAGAUCACCUCAGGAAAAGGGAAACAGAUCUACAAGAAAGGAUGCACCAAACAUUCCCAUUUGAGUCUACACCACAUGUAGAAGGAUCUCCACUUGGUUUGGAGGUACCUGUAGGAUCUGUUUGAGCCUGCAAGAGUCAAAGAAACAAACUUACUGGUCCAUACUGGAGGGUCUAGUGGAAAGAUAACUCCUGAGAGGGAGGCCUCGGAUAAACCAUUUGAAGUUGUAGAACUACAACGUUCGACACAUUUGAAGAAGCCUCCAGAGAGACUGAAUUUGUAAAUAGUUUAUUUAUGUAAAUAGUUGAUAUAUAGUAAAGUUGUCAGUUGUACUUUUGAGUAAGGAGGAAAGGAUGUGAUAAUCUGAGGUGCAAUACACCUUUAAGAGAAUGUAAGCAGAUUAACCACGUGACUGUAUUACCCAAUUGCUGUGUAGUACAGGCCACAAUGUUAAUCAGUAGUUUAA